RNAcentral lists this ribosomal RNA (253 nucleotides) under uncultured bacterium. Its description in RNAcentral is "partial 16S ribosomal RNA". It matches the Rfam family "Bacterial small subunit ribosomal RNA", at positions 524 to 776 of the family's 1533-position model. The record is from RNAcentral.
UACGUAGGGUCCGAGCGUUGUCCGGAAUUAUUGGGCGUAAAGAGCUCGUAGGCGGUUUGUCGCGUCUGCUGUGAAAUCCCGAGGCUCAACCUCGGGUCUGCAGUGGGUACGGGCAGACUGGAGUGCGGUAGGGGAGAAUGGAAUUCCUGGUGUAGCGGUGGAAUGCGCAGAUAUCAGGAGGAACACCAGCGGCGAAGGCGGCGCUCUGGGCCGGAACUGACGCUGAGGAGCGAAAGCAUGGGUAGCGAACAGG